Molecule: ribosomal RNA, 301 nt
Filed under: uncultured bacterium
Lineage: Bacteria
Description: partial 16S ribosomal RNA
Rfam family: Bacterial small subunit ribosomal RNA
Source: RNAcentral
CAGUAGCCGCGGGAAUACGUAGGGAGCGAGCGUUGUCCGGAAUUACUGGGCGUAAAGAGCUCGUAGGCGGGACCGUAAGUCCAAGAGGAAAUCUCAAGGCUCAACUUUGGGGCUUUCUUGGAUACUGCGGUUCUUGAGGAUAUCAGAGGAAAGUAGAAUUCCCGGUGUAGCGGUGAAAUGCGUAGAUAUCGGGAGGAAUACCAGUGGCGAAGGCGACUUUCUGGGAUAUUCCUGACGCUGAGGAGCGAAAGCGUGGGGAGCAAACGGGAUUAGAUACCCCCGUAGUCCCUGUCUCUUAUAC